Nerophis ophidion (straightnose pipefish) is the source of this 2118-nucleotide long non-coding RNA. RefSeq lists it as uncharacterized. The record is from RefSeq and is a predicted model, not a curated record. The transcript is spliced from 4 exons. Lineage: Eukaryota; Metazoa; Chordata; Actinopteri; Syngnathiformes; Syngnathidae.
GGAGAGCCAGGCCUGGCAGUCGGGCGUUUCUCUCAGGAGCUCCACCAGCGCCUGGGCUUCCUUCACACUCGGGAUGGUCUCCAACGCCAGCAGGUCCGCUCCCGCCGCCGCCAAGCAUUCCAGCUGAGGCCGAUGCCAGGAUUUGAGCUCCUGGGAGGGAACAUUGGCAACGUAGAACGGCGUGGACUCAGAAUGGAGCCCUGGGGGACGCCGCAGAUUUGUUUUGUGGCUAAAUUCACAUUUUAGUCCGAGUAAAAGUCCUCAUGUGAUUUAUGCUGUAUUGCUUCUUUGUGUUUUAACAGAUCCAACUCUUUUAUGGCCCCCUGCUAAAUUCCACGGGCCCUACGGAGAGAGCUCUGCUUGGUACGUCCCGCUCAUCCCAGGAACAUAAAACAAGGCACCGGUGUACUCUGAGCCGUCAUGCAGAGAGGCGCCAUAGGGUCCCACUGAGACCGCCACCAGAGGACACGCCCGGCCUGCAGGCGGCCGGGGACGCGUAGGCGGCCACCGUCUGUUCGGCGAGGUGAAGGCCGGACACCAGCAGCUCCCUGGCGGCGUCCGAGCUCACCUUCAAAUGCCGGACGAAGCCCGGGAUGGUGGCCUGGUAGGUCGCCGUGGUGAUCACGUCGGCGCCGCUCAGGAGGAAGCUGCGAGCCAGGUGUCACGUCAGGCCUGGGAACGCCUCGGGAUCCCCCAGGAGGAGCUGGACGAAGUGGCUGGGGAGAGGGAAGUCUGGGCUUCCCUGCUUAGGCUGCUGCCCCCGCGACCCAAACUCGGAUUAGUUGAAAAAGAUGGAUUGAAAGGCUUUAACAUGUUUAUUAUCUUGGAGACUGACACAGGCAUCUAGAUUGCCACACACCAUCCUGACUCACGGUUUCAACAUUUGGUUCUUCUCAAAAGUGUAUAAUAUCUUUUUCAGUUUGUUUUUUUACCUGCAACUUCGCGCCUUGAGCCUCCAGUUGUGUUGCUAGUCCACCGUCCAAGAGGAGCGCGCCUUCAUUGUUUCUCAGACGAGCGCGUAAAGUCAUGACAAAUGAUCGGAAUAAAAGUAAAACAAGGCACUUAUUGCAUUCUUCUUGCAGCUGAGCGUAGAAAUAUCGCAUUUAAGGCUUGCAGCUUUUAUUUUGUAAAGUUCUUGUUCCGGGUUGCGAGGAAGGUUUAGCAGUUGCGUUCAAUGCUACUCGAAUUUUUCGCAGUUGUUAAAUUAUUAGGCCCUCUUUUAUGUAUACGCCGCUUCUAGAUUACGCGGGAGUUAGCAUACUAUCAUGUCGCUGUGCUCCAGAAUGCCAAAUUAUAUACAUAUAUAUUUAUUUGAUAUUUAUUCAAAGACAAGAUGGUGAAAAACUUAAAAGAACAAAGAAACACAAACACACCUAUUGCCUCCGUCCAUAUCUGUCUACGAUGACAUGUAAAAUGUAACUGUAAUGCCCCAAAAUGUCCAGCAGAGGGAGACUCCCGUCUGCCUGAAUGACUUGAUGGUAUGUAAUUUGACAUUUUUAUUCAACAUAUUGGCACAAUUACACUUUUUUUAACGUGUCUGACAUGUUAACUUGGUAAAGACAACCUAGAGCAUUGCUUUUUCGCUGCUUUGUGUAGGAUGGCAACAGAAAUGACUACAGAAGACAGCAACAUGUAAGACUUUCUUUCCAACCGGAAGUAAUUUAGCGGAAGUGACGUCAUCUAACUACUGUUUGCCGAUUAAAGCAGGGGUGUCCAAACUUCUUCUAAAGAGGGCCUUACACGGGAAAAUGUAUGCGGGGGCCAUUUUGAUAUUUCUCAUUUUCAAACCAUAACAAAAUAUAACAAUUUUUUUUGUAAUCGUUAGGGAGGGUCUCAGUCACUAAAAUGUUAAAAAUAGGUCAAAUUAUUAUUAUUUGUUUUAAUUUAAUGUUUACAGUAAAUCUCUAUAUCAAACAAAUAAGGUUUUAUGCCUUUUCGGUCAAAGAAUACUUUGUUUUUUAAAGUAAAACUGAAAUAUGCAGUAUUUAGAUAGAUAGAUAGAUAGAUAGAUAGAUAGUACUUUAUUGAUUCCUUCAGGAGUGUUCCUUUAUUUAGCAAUUAAAGCCCUCAAAGAUCAAUAAUGCAGGACACCAUUGAUUUUAAUUAUUUAAUAUUUUU